AAUAGAUACCCGGGUAGUCCACGCCGUAAACGAUGAGUGCUAAGUGUUAGAGGGUUUCCGCCCUUUAGUGCUGCAGCAAACGCAUUAAGCACUCCGCCCGGGGAGUACGGUCGCAAGACUGAAACUCAAAGGAAUUGACGGGGGCCCGCACAAGCGGUGGAGCAUGUGGUUUAAUUCGAAGCAACGCGAAGAACCUUACCAGGUCUUGACAUCCUUCGCUACUUCUAGAGAUAGAAGGGUUCCCCUUCGGGGGACGGAGUGACAGGUGGUGCAUGGUUGUCGUCAGCUCGUGUCGUGAGAUGUUGGGUUAAGUCCCGCAACGAGCGCAACCCUUGACCUUAGUUGCCAGCAUUUAGUUGGGCACUCUAAGGUGACUGCCGGUGACAAACCGGAGGAAGGUGGGGAUGACGUCAAAUCAUCAUGCCCCUUAUGACCUGGGCUACACACGUGCUACAAUGGAUGGUACAAAGGGCUGCAAGACUGCGAAGUCAAGCCAAUCCCAUAAAACCAUUCUCAGUUCGGAUUGCAGGCUGC
RNAcentral lists this ribosomal RNA (534 nucleotides) under uncultured bacterium. RNAcentral describes it as "bacterial SSU rRNA". It matches the Rfam family "Bacterial small subunit ribosomal RNA", at positions 777 to 1308 of the family's 1533-position model. The record is from RNAcentral.